Tripterygium wilfordii is the source of this 1610-nucleotide RNA transcript. It is a transcript of the gene named SAGA-associated factor 29 homolog A-like, with no coding region annotated. The transcript is spliced from 10 exons. The record is from RefSeq and is a predicted model, not a curated record. Lineage: Eukaryota; Viridiplantae; Streptophyta; Magnoliopsida; Celastrales; Celastraceae.
UUCACGUUCGAUUAAGAUCUAACGGCCUCGACUGAAACCACCGUCUUAACGAACCGCUAAAAGCCCCCCAUCGGAAAAAUUGAAGAGAACCCCCAAAAGACAACUUUUUUCUGUGUCUCACUUUGUCUGUGUCAUCAUCAGACAUCAGCUUAUGUAAUUCAUUGGUUCCUCUAGAAGCAUUGGACCAGCUACGACUCGAUUUGGUUUGCUCGAAUUCUUCAACAAGUGAUCGCUCUCUCCUUCGAGGGUUUUUUUGGGCAUUGAGUAUCAUGUGUUUUCAUUUCCAUGUGGUGCAACAGAAAGAACUACCGCUAACAACAUGAAAGACAAUUGAAAACUCCAAAUGUAGCAAGGUUUGGAGCUCCUAUAAUCUUCUAUACAUAUAAUUGGCAUUCCGAUCUUUUCGUCCGAGAGCGAAUCCAGAAGCAAUGUCAUCUCCAGACAUUGUUGCAAUCUUGGAGAGCUCUAGGGAACUCGAUCGAAUAAGGAAAGAUCAAGAGGAGGUGCUAGUCGAGAUAAACAAGAUGCACAAGAAGCUCCAAGCAACUCCUGAGGUGGUUGAGAAGCCUGGAGAUACUUCAUUAGCGAAGCUAAAGCAUCUGUAUACUCAGGCAAAAGACCUUUCAGAAACUGAAGUAAAUAUUUCCACUGCAUUGCUGAGUCAACUGGAUGCUUUGCUUCCAUCUGGACCUCCAGGGCAACAACGAAAGAGGAUAGUUGCAGAAGGUGGGAAUGAACAGAAAAGGAAAAGAAUGAAGACUGAUUCAGAUAUCUCAAGGCUCUCUCCAUCAAUACGAAGUCAGCUUGAGGCCUGGGCUAAUCUAAAGGGUGAACAGGUAGCGGCUAGAGUUACGGGAGAUAAUUCUGAAAAGGAUGAGUGGUUCGUUGUAAAAGUGAUACAUUUUCAUAAGGAUAUGAAAGAAUUUGAAGUGCUUGAUGAGGAGCCAGGUGAUGAAGAAGAGGGCAGUGGCCAGAGAAAAUAUCAUCUGCCUAUGUCACGCAUCAUACCGUUUCCAAAGCGAAAUGAUCCUUCCACUGCCCCAGAUUUCCCUCCUGGAAGACAAGUUUUAGCUGUUUAUCCAGGAACUACUGCACUUUAUAAGGCAACUGUUGUUAGUCCUCCGAGGAGGAGGAAGACGGAUGAGUAAGUAAUAUCUUCUAUUAUUUCCAUCUGUCAUUUGUGCUAUAUUUUUCCCAAUACGGGUUAUUUACUGGAAUUCGACGAUGACGAAGAAGAUGGUAAAAUGCCCCAGAGGACAGUACCUUUUCACAAGGUGGUUGCCCUGCCAGAAGGUCAUCGUCAGUGAAUUAUUUCUGUUUAUAAAUGUGUGCAAAUACAAAGUUGUGCAGUGUCGUGUACCAACAUGCCCCUAUGUAUGUAUGUAUGUGUUUGUUUAGUCGGUAAUUGCUGAUCUAAGGAUCCAAAAUCUCACUCCACUUCCUCAUCUACAAUGGGGAGGAGAUUGGUGAGUAGACUUUUAAGUUUUAACCAUAAGACCUACGUAAGUAAGUUGAGGGUUAAAUGUAAUUUAUCCUUGAAGAUUUUCAGAAUUUGUUCUUUAGACAAGCAAGCUUAAAUGUAAUUUAUUGUUUAUCCACUUCUUUGUAUU